Felis catus (domestic cat) is the source of this 562-nucleotide long non-coding RNA. RefSeq lists it as uncharacterized. The record is from RefSeq and is a predicted model, not a curated record. The transcript has 3 exons. Lineage: Eukaryota; Metazoa; Chordata; Mammalia; Carnivora; Felidae.
UUGGAGCAGCAGCGCCAGGUUUGAUGUGGCUGAAGGCGGGGCCAGACUGGGAGGAGCUCCAGCUGACAGCUCAGAAGGGAGAGCACUGCCUUAGUGGUCAGAUUCCCUGGCACGGCUCUUUCUGCACAACAGUACCAGGCCCAUCAUGUUCCUUCAUCCUUUUCAUUGCUUCCACCAACCACAACUCUCCAAAGCAAGUGUACUCUCACAGAUGAAACUAAAGCAAAGCAAGAUGAGAAAAAGGCUCAAAAUUGAAGCCUGAGGCUAUCCCAAUACAGGUAACAGGAUGAGGAAGAGUUGAAGAUGCCCUUGAUGGGUCCAGCAACUGGAUGAUCAUAACAAGAAAUGAGAGACAGAGAAAGUGUUCAGCAUCUGGAGAAUAACUGAAUAAAUCAGACAAAAACUCUUGCUUCUCACAUUAGAUGUUUAACAAAAGCUUAAUUUGAAUGAACUCCCCCACAGACCCGAGCCAUAACAACAAUAAAGAGUUACAAACACAAUAGUUUUUAAAAGGUCAGCUUGGUCAAUAAAAAACAUAAUUUGUUCAAUUUGAAGAUAUCCA